RNAcentral lists this ribosomal RNA (226 nucleotides) under uncultured bacterium. RNAcentral's name for it is "partial 16S ribosomal RNA". It matches the Rfam family "Bacterial small subunit ribosomal RNA", at positions 107 to 334 of the family's 1533-position model. The record is from RNAcentral.
CGCGUAACACGUGGGCAACCUGCCCUGGAGCGGGGGACAACAUACCGAAAGGUGUGCUAAUACCGCAUAUGGCUCUUCUCGGCAUCGAGAGGCAGCUAAAGAUUUAUCACUCCAGGGUGGGCCCGCGGCCUAUCAGCUUGUUGGUGGGGUAACGGCCUACCAAGGCUUCGACGGGUAGCUGGUCUGAGAGGACGAUCAGCCGGAUUGGGACUGAGAUACGGCCCAG